This is a long non-coding RNA of Anoplophora glabripennis (Asian longhorned beetle), 264 nucleotides long. RefSeq lists it as uncharacterized. NCBI's taxonomy places the organism in Eukaryota, Metazoa, Arthropoda, Insecta, Coleoptera, Cerambycidae. The transcript has 3 exons. The record is from RefSeq and is a predicted model, not a curated record.
CUGAGUGCCAUGAGUGAGUGACUUCAAACAGUUCAGUUACCAAAACGUUUUCAUGAAAAUGUCGGCACAAAUCUGUGGAGAGACCAGCACCCAUGGCUUCAAGAGUUCGAGCAGUCCACUGCCCGGACAGGUCUAAAAAGAAAACAUUACAUCGCUCCGUCCAUCUAAUCUUGAGCCUUAUGCAGGUGAUAAUUCUGCAGAUAAGGACGACGAAUGAAUAUGAAAAUUAUCAAAUAAUGGUAUUUUUGCUUUUUUCGUGUACGU